UACGAAGGGGGCUAGCGUUGUUCGGAAUUACUGGGCGUAAAGCGCACGUAGGCGGAAUGUUAAGUCAGGGGUGAAAUCCCGGGGCUCAACCCCGGAACUGCCUUUGAUACUGGCAUUCUCGAGUCCGGAAGAGGUGAGUGGAAUUCCGAGUGUAGAGGUGAAAUUCGUAGAUAUUCGGAGGAACACCAGUGGCGAAGGCGGCUCACUGGACCACAACUGACGCUGAGGCGCGAAAGCUAGGGGAGCAAACAGG
Molecule: ribosomal RNA, 253 nt
Filed under: uncultured bacterium
Lineage: Bacteria
Description: partial 16S ribosomal RNA
Rfam family: Bacterial small subunit ribosomal RNA
Source: RNAcentral